RNAcentral lists this ribosomal RNA (253 nucleotides) under uncultured bacterium. RNAcentral describes it as "partial 16S ribosomal RNA". It matches the Rfam family "Bacterial small subunit ribosomal RNA", at positions 524 to 776 of the family's 1533-position model. The record is from RNAcentral.
UACGAAGGGGGCUAGCGUUGCUCGGAAUUACUGGGCGUAAAGCGCACGUAGGCGGACUCUUAAGUCGGGGGUGAAAUCCUGGAGCUCAACUCCAGAACUGCCUUCGAUACUGAGAGCCUUGGGUUCGGGAGAGGUGAGUGGAACUGCGAGUGUAGAGGUGAAAUUCGUAGAUAUUCGCAAGAACACCAGUGGCGAAGGCGGCUCACUGGCCCGAUACUGACGCUGAGGUGCGAAAGCGUGGGGAGCAAACAGG